Molecule: long non-coding RNA, 734 nt
Filed under: Gallus gallus (chicken)
Lineage: Eukaryota; Metazoa; Chordata; Aves; Galliformes; Phasianidae
Source: RNAcentral
AACAAGUUCAAAUAAGUAACAAAGUCCUUCCACACCUGCUGAUGUAGUUACAAAUAAGGCAAAAACGUGUUGUUUUAGAUUCCUUUUCCAUUGUGCGUCUUAAGGCUGCCUGGGCUGCUGAGGUCAUGGAGUCUGCUUCAUCCAGGAUCACAAUUUUAAAAGGAGGACAAACUUUACCAUCUGCUCUGCUUCCAGAUGCUGUGAGCUGAGCAAAAGCCUUCACUUUCUCACGGAUCACUUGUAUUCCACGCUCAUCGGAGGCAUUUAACUCCAGGACUCUUUGUCGGAAUAGCUCAGGCCCAAAGAGUUCCCUGGCAGCUGCUAAAAUAGUGGAGGUCUUCCCAGUUCCAGGCGGGCCAUAGAACAGCAGAUUGGGAAGAUCAGCGCCUUCCAAGGACUUUUUCAGCACAGCAACCACCUCAUCCUGGAAGGCGACUUCGUCCACGUUUUUGGGGCGAUAUUUCUCCACCCAGGGCACGGGUUUGAGCUUCUUGCCUUCCCCGCUGCUCCCCGCCGCGCUCCUCUCCUUGGCGGCGGGAGGCUUGCUGCUGAUGGAGGACGGGCCUUUGAGGAAGGCCUGCAUGGCUGUGGCUGCGCCCGCCCCAGUUCCUCUCCGUCCCCUCGGCUCCGCGCGGCCGUUAAGCCCAGCGCAUCACAACGCGCGCAAGCCCAUCGCCGCGCGCACCCCGCAACAACUUCCCGCCAAGCCGCCGCCACUCAAGGCGAAGCAGAGC